ACGCUCGACACCUACGGGAGACAGCAGUCGGGAAUAUUGCGCAAUGGAGGAAACUCUGACGCAGUGACGCCGCGUAUAGGAAGAAGGUUUUCGGAUUGUAAACUAUUGUCGUUAGGGAAGAGAAAGGACAGUACCUAAGGAGGAAGCUCCGGCUAACUACGUGCCUAGCAGCCGCGGUAAUCUGAGCGGGCUGGCAAGGC
Molecule: ribosomal RNA, 200 nt
Filed under: uncultured bacterium
Lineage: Bacteria
Description: partial 16S ribosomal RNA
Rfam family: Bacterial small subunit ribosomal RNA
Source: RNAcentral